AGGAUUAUAGUUUAUAUUAAAAAACAUUUGAUUUGCAAUCAAAAAAUAUUGAUUUCAAUUUAUCUU
RNAcentral lists this transfer RNA (66 nucleotides) under Allancastria cerisyi. RNAcentral describes it as "tRNA-Ala". Lineage: Eukaryota; Metazoa; Arthropoda; Insecta; Lepidoptera; Papilionidae. The record is from RNAcentral.